GGGAGAUAAAAAAAAAAAAAUAAAAAAAAAAAAAAUGGAAAACAGCAAUAAAUCAGUCAGCUUUGUCCUUUCUGCGUCGUCCACAGGAAUGUUUGUCUCCUCUUAGCAUCGGGAGCUCCUCAGGCACUUUCAAGUCCUCCUCUUUCUCCCCUCUCCUCCACCUCCAGCGAGUUCUUGGGGUGGGCAGAGAGAGGCGGCACACACUCUUCAGGUUAAACUAAAAGGCUGUCGGGCUAUGAGUCCUCCCCUUCAGAGAAAGCAGUCAGGCUAAACAGGAGAGAAGCACCAGCUAAACUGAACUUGGGCGUGCAGUGACCAGCUGGGCAUCUUUGUGUCCUGUGGCUACUCUUCCAGAGGCAGAGGGAGCCAGAGACAAAGCAACAGGACAAGGAAAUCAUAGCCCUUUAUUUUCCUUCUUUGGGCUUCUUUCUUUCUAUGUCCCAGGACACUUCCUUUAAAGACGGCCACAGAAUUUGCCACCCUCUUUCUAUGAAUGUCUGCUGAAAUAGAAAUCCCUUCUCCUCCUCCUUCUCCCUCCCUCCUCCCCCCCUCUCCCCUUCCCUUUCCUAUUCCCUUCCCUCUCUUCUCCCUUUCCCUCUCCCUACCCCUUCUGCUCUUGGGCAGAGCUUGGUGCCCCUCACUGGGAAUUGCAUUCACGUGUCUUUCGUAGGAAAAAAAAAAAAUAAAAAAUAUAAUUUCAAGCUCCCCCCACCCGUCGCCUACACCCUCUCACACACGAGCACGCAUUCACACGUACGCACACACACUUUGUCUCCCUCUCACACAGACAUGCACAAUUUUUUUCCUCUUCCCCAUCCCUCCUCUUCUUUUGAAUCAGCAACACUUUUCUUUGCAAGGACUCUCGGCAAGGCUCUUAGAGAGCAACCCAAGAAGUCUGCUCCAGCUUCUUUCCUCCGAGAGUGCAUCGCCACCUUCCCCACACGUUUAUUUUGCUUUCACUCCUCCGGGCACUUUCUAGUUCUGAGUUGUCAGCUGGGAGGAUUGGGUUUACCUCGCUCGUGUUGCUGUGGAUACUUCAUGAGUUAG
Long non-coding RNA from Parus major (Great Tit), 1047 nucleotides. The record is from Ensembl. Lineage: Eukaryota; Metazoa; Chordata; Aves; Passeriformes; Paridae.